CCUCUCCUCCUCGCUACUUCUUCUCUUUAUUAUCCUCCUCCUCCAAAUUAGCCCAUAAACUUUCUCUUUUUAUUUACAUCUCUUCUCGUUAAUGACCUCUUCUUCUCUAUUCUUUUUUUUUUCUUCAUCUAUUUCUCAUAAUUUUUUUCUUCUCCUUUUAAACUAGUCCACGAGUUCUUCUCCUUGACGGUGGCUCUCUCCAUAUCUACUUUUUUCCUGAUAACUCUUUCUUUUCCU
Molecule: long non-coding RNA, 237 nt
Filed under: Elaeis guineensis (African oil palm)
Lineage: Eukaryota; Viridiplantae; Streptophyta; Magnoliopsida; Arecales; Arecaceae
Description: long non-coding RNA (EGUI_LNC006688)
Source: RNAcentral